GACGAACGCUGGCGGCGUGCUUAACACAUGCAAGUCGAACGGAAAGGCUCCAGCUUGCUGGAGUACUCGAGUGGCGAACGGGUGAGUAACACGUGGGUAAUCUGCCCUGCACUCUGGGAUAAGCCUGGGAAACUGGGUCUAAUACUGGAUAUGACCUUUCUCCUUAUGGGGUUUGGUGGAAAGUUUUUCGGUGUAGGAUGAGCCCGCGGCCUAUCAGCUUGUUGGUGGGGUGAUGGCUUACCAAUGCGACGACGGGUAGCCGGCCUGAGAGGGUGAUCGGCCACAUUGGGACUGAGAUACGGCCCAGACUCCUACGGGAGGCAGCAGUGGGGAAUAUUGCACAAUGGGCGGAAGCCUGAUGCAGCGACGCCGCGUGAGGGAUGACGGCCUUCGGGUUGUAAACCUCUUUCAGCAGGGACGAAGCGUAAGUGACGGUACCUGCAGAAGAAGCACCGGCUAACUAUGUG
RNAcentral lists this ribosomal RNA (467 nucleotides) under uncultured bacterium. RNAcentral describes it as "partial 16S ribosomal RNA". It matches the Rfam family "Bacterial small subunit ribosomal RNA", at positions 28 to 507 of the family's 1533-position model. The record is from RNAcentral.